This 274-nucleotide ribosomal RNA is filed under the name uncultured bacterium. Its description in RNAcentral is "partial 16S ribosomal RNA". It matches the Rfam family "Bacterial small subunit ribosomal RNA", at positions 523 to 796 of the family's 1533-position model. The record is from RNAcentral.
AUACGGAGGGUGCAAGCGUUAUUCGGAAUCACUGGGCGUAAAGGACGCGUAGGCGGGUUGGCAAGUCAGAUGUGAAAUCCUACAGCUUAACUGUAGAACUGCAUUUGAAACUGCUAACCUAGAGUAUGGGAGGGGGAGAUGGAAUUAGUGGUGUAGGGGUAAAAUCCGUAGAUAUCACUAGGAAUACCGAAAGCGAAGGCGAUCUCCUGGAACAUAACUGACGCUAAGGCGUGAAAGCGUGGGAAGCAAACAGGAGUAGAAACCCUUGUAGUCC